RNAcentral lists this ribosomal RNA (520 nucleotides) under uncultured bacterium. RNAcentral's name for it is "partial 16S ribosomal RNA". It matches the Rfam family "Bacterial small subunit ribosomal RNA", at positions 355 to 891 of the family's 1533-position model. The record is from RNAcentral.
UGGGGAAUAUUGCACAAUGGGCGAAAGCCUGAUGCAGCAACGCCGCGUGAGUGAUGAAGGUCUUCGGAUUGUAAAGCUCUGUCUUUUGGGACGAUAAUGACGGUACCAAAGGAGGAAGCCACGGCUAACUACGUGCCAGCAGCCGCGGUAAUACGUAGGUGGCGAGCGUUGUCCGGAUUUACUGGGCGUAAAGGGUGCGUAGGCGGAUGUUUAAGUGAGAUGUGAAAUACCCGGGCUUAACUUGGGUGCUGUAUUUCAAACUGGAUAUCUAGAGUGCAGGAGAGGAGAAUGGAAUUCCUAGUGUAGCGGUGAAAUGCGUAGAGAUUAGGAAGAACACCAGUGGCGAAGGCGAUUCUCUGGACUGUAACUGACGCUGAGGCACGAAAGCGUGGGUAGCAAACAGGAUUAGAUACCCUGGUAGUCCACGCCGUAAACGAUGAGUACUAGGUGUAGGAGGUAUCGACCCCUUCUGUGCCGCAGUAAACACAUUAAGUACUCCGCCUGGGAAGUACGAUCGCAA